CGCUGCCGGAGCUGUCCAGCACUUCAGCAGGGGCCGCGCCGGGGCCGCGCCGGAGGGGCCACGACCGCCGAGCCCCCCCGAGCCCACCGCCACCCCCGGCACCCCCGGCACCCCCCGGCGCCGACAGGGACCCCCCUCCUGGGGCCGGACUCAGCGGGACGGCGGGGCGAGGUGAUCAUGGCUCUCUACAACAAUGGGGCCGAUGUGCCUUCGCCCCAGGAAGCCUCCAACGGCUUCUCCCAGCCCGGCGCCUCGGGAACGUGGCACAAGGGUGAGGAGGAGGUGCGGCUGGUGGAGCCCAGCAUGGUGAAGAAGGCUCACCGGGAAAUCCUGGACCACGAGCGCAAGCGGCGGGUGGAGCUGAAGUGCAUGGAGCUGCAGGAGAUGAUGGAGGAGCAGGGGUACUCCGAAGAGGAGAUCCGGCAGAAAGUGGGGACCUUUCGGCAAAUGCUGAUGGAGAAGGAAGGUGUGCUCACCAGGGAGGACCAGCAUGGGCGCCAAAUCGUGAUAGAAAACCACCACGGGGCGGACGGGGAGGAGUACGCGGUGGAGUAUCCCGACUACGGCGAGGGCUGCCUGCUGCAGUGCGACUGCUCGGCCGAGUGCUACCGCGAGGACAGCGGCCACCGCGAGUACAGGCUGAAACGGCGCUCGAGUAGCUCUACCUCUCCUCCCCCCAAGAAGAAAAAGAAGAAGAAAUCAGGUCACCGCCGGAGCCGCAAAAAGAGGAAACCUGGCUCGGAGCGCAGCUGUGACAGCUCUUCACCCAUCCGCAAGGAAAAGAAAAAGAAGACUGGAAAGAAACACAGGCGUGACAGAUCUGAGUCAGGGUCACGGAAGAAGAGAAGACACAGGUCCCGAAGCCCCAAGAACAAACGGAAAGAGAAAAACAAAGAGCGCAAGAGGUCCCGCAGCGAGUCCCCGGCCUGGCGCUCGCACCGGCGCAGCUCCUGCAGCUCCCACAGCGCCUCCCUCUCCUCCGACGACAGCGGCUCCAAAUCCCCCGGCAGGCUGAGCCCCAAGCGCCGGCAGGAUGGUCCCAAAGGCAGCAGCGCUCGCUCCAGCCGCAGCCCGUCCUCGCCCUCGCCCCAGCGCUCGGCCUCGCCGCACCAGAACGGGCACAAGGGCAGCGCCCAGAACGGCCGCCACAGCCACGGCGCCCCGCUCCCGGAGCCCUCGGAUGUACGUAGGCUUUUCUUGGAUCACUCUUCGCUUCCCUCCCCUCCUCCCUCCACAGGACUGCCCCCCUGCUCUCCUCUCCGCUCCUUCCCCACUCGCUCGGCUCCCCGCCCUGCCCAGCCGGGGCACACGGGGGAGAUGCACUCACCAACUCUGCACGGUCUCCCUGGGGGAGCCAGCCCGUCAUCUCGGGGCAAGGAUCAGGGCAGCCAACAAAUCAUCCCUCCCCCAAAGCCGCACAUUGCCCUGCAGAUGUCACCCCGAGACGAUGGCUUGGCAGGCAGGCGACACUGCCAGGGUCACCACUGGGCUCAGCACCUACCUGAGAUUGAGCCCAGACAGCCAAGAAAUGGGUACAGCUGGAAAAUUCGUUUCCCCAGCAGCCCAAACCCUCCCCAGUGCCAAGGGGCUGACACCAGUGCUCAGGACUCCAACACCCAGUCUGGCCAAGGUAGUGUUCGGAGGGGAUUUGGUGCUGGAUGCUCAGAUUUUAGGGUCCCCAUGGCAGGUGACAUUGGAGCUAAGUGUCCCUGGCUCUGCCUCAUUGUCCUGGGAUGUCCCAAUGAAACCUGGGGGGCUACUCCAGUGCUGAGUGGUCAAAACUCUAAUCCUGUGGGACAGAGAGCCAGUCCCAGUUUAACCAGUGCCAGGAUGGCAAGGAGCCUGCUUUGGCUAACAGGGACUGGAGGCAGAGCUGACUGAAGGCAGUGUGCUGCAUGACUCCACUACUGGGGGCCACACAGGUCCCCACUCACCUCAGGGAACUUCAUUCCCAUGGUGAGGUGCUGUGGGGACACUGCCAGGCUGGUAGCACCCUGUGCUGACACCCCAACACCUGCAGGGCCAGGGCCACCCCGGAAAAUGGGGCCAGGAGCCCCCCUCCCCAUACCCACCUCCCCUUCACCCUCCCCAGCCCAGCACCCCCCAGCAGCACCCAGCACCCAGCACCCAGCCCAUCUCUUGGAGCACCUCUCUGCUUUCUUCUUUUCCUGUGGUUUUGGCUGGGGUGUGGGGGGGUUCGGGAGCCCCCCAGGCGCCCGGCUCGCCCCGCUCUCCCCCUGCCCACCCCCCAGCAUCGCCCAGGCCGACGAGCUCCCUUGGCUCUCUGACACCAGCGGGACUUUUCUCCAACAACUUUCUCUCUUUCUCUCUUUCUCUCUCUCUCUCUCUCUCUCUUCUUUCUCUCUCUGGUUUCUACUUUUUAUUUUUUUUUCUUUUUAAUCCCAUCUGUGUUUUUCUUUAGCCUCCCAUUUGAAAAAAACCCAAACGGUAAUAUACACUUCCAUUUCUUGCUCAGCAGAAGCAGGGAUGAGGGGGAGGGAAGGGCAAUGAAACGUGCUUUUUUUUUUUUUUCCCGCCCCCUUGUUUUAGUUUCCUUUCUCAUGAUUUCUUUUCUUUUCCCUUGUGAUGUACAGAAAUGCAAACGAUUUAUAUUUCUCUUAUUUUCAUUUUUCCCCCCCCGUCGUCGUCGUGUUGUUCUAGAAUUUUUUGCUUUUGUGUGUGUUAAUGUGGAGAAGAAAAAAAAAAACAAAACAACAAACCCAAACCCAAAAACCAGAUGUGUUUUCUAAAUAUUUACGACCACUGAACAUUGUAUUUCCAUUUUCUAUAUUUUGAACAAGGAAUUUAAAAGGGAAGAGAACCCAGCAGGCCUCCACUGCAAAAGAAAUGGGCUUGUUUCCAUCUCAUGGAGUGAAUUGCCCUUUUCCUCCUCAAAUUGGCUACUGUCCCGUGUCCUCAGCUGGAUCCUGCUGAUGUGGGGAUGGUUUUCCUCCCUGGCUGCAGGAUGAGGCUGCUGGGUGCUGGGUUAUCCGAGCACCCCGCAAUCAUCCCACACCCAAGUACCCAUAUCCUGCAUCCCAGCAGGAUGGAUGCUGAGCAUCCUUGGUACCCAGCUCCUUUCCCAUCUCCUGCAGACCCCCAAAAGCUCAGCCCAUCCCCCGGAUGAGCUGUGUCCCCCCUCAGCACCCCCAGGGCCACCGGGAGCAAGGGGUGCCCCGGGGCGCUGCACGGUGUUACCUUCCCUUUUAAAUACCCAGUCCUGUCUCCAUCCAUCCCUGCUGCCUUCCCAGCCUUCCUCCUGGGUCUCUCCUCCUCCUCCUCCUUGCCCACACGCACCCUCCAGCCCCUCUUUCUCUCCGGUUUUCUUUGGGCCAACACAACCCAACAUCCCUCGCCGUGUCCCACCUCCAUCCAUCGCCUUCCCUGCAUGUUAUCCGGGACUUUGCCAUGUUAUAGAGUGACUUUUUAAGACUGAACUGCAGCUGGGUUACAGACACCAGCCAGCAACUCCCCCCGUGGCCACCCCGCUCGGCGGCCGGCCACAGCCUUUCCAUUGAAAAGCAAACAAAAAAACCUAACAAACAAACAAACAAAAAAAAAAUUAAAAACUAAAGAGACCGAAUUUAAAAAAUAAUUUAAAAAAAUUCUAAGCAGAGCAAACGGGAUUAGCCGAGGGGUCUGGAUCGCCGUACUAAAGAGUCCUUGUCUUUUUCCCAUUCUGCCCUCCAAAUGUGGAGAUUAUUGUUUUCUUUUUUUAUUAUUGCAUUCCUGUCACUGCCAAUUCCAAAGGUAGGUAUUUCGUCCACCUCUGCACGUUCACUUCUGCAGAUGAGCCUGUUGAAAAGCACCGUAGCUUGAUUUAAUGUUAUUUUCUCUUUCUUUCUGACUUUCUUUCUCUUUCUUUCUCGCUCUCCUUCUCUGUCUCUCUUUCAUUUUGUCCCUUUUUGGUGGCUAUAUAUGAUUUUUUUUGUUUUUGAUUUGUAUGGUUUUCCCCAGUUAGCUGCAAAGCCAUGCUCUUCUCUUACGUUCUUAUUUUGUAUAUUUUUUUGCCCUGUCCACGUAAUAUUUUUUUCUUUCUUCCCCCCUUUUCUCUUCCCCGUCUCCUCGUGCUGUCGGUAGAAUGCAUUUCUGUGUCUUUCAGCCCUCCGAAUUUGUGUUCGUUUCCAUGCAGGGGCUGCUCCCUUCGAGUCCCCCCUUAGUGGCCCAGUAACGAAGGCAAACGUAAUUAGUGAGAAAUAGAGGUGGUGGCCAGGGGUGGGAGUGGGCACAGGGGGGUUUGGAUUGAAUGGAUGGGGCAAAACCUGAGAAAUUUGGGGAGAUGUGUGGGUUUAACCCCUCUUUGGGUCGUGAUGGGGGGAAAAAACCCAACUCAGGAAAAAUACUGGGAGGUUGCAAUGGGGAAAGGUUGAAAUCUUCAUCUGUGGAGAGGCAGGUCCAGGGCAUCGCAUUCCCCAGGAGCAGGGGAUGGCAUCCCAGCCCUGGAUGUCCCAUCCCCACAAGUGCCCAGUGUGUGUUUUCCCUUUUGGGCUGGGUCUUUGCUGAUUUGGGUUUAUUUGGGAUGCUUUUACUGUCGUUGCCUUCCUGCACGCCUGGGCAGGAGACUGCAGGGUUUGGGUGGGAGCCCCACACCCCACAGCAUGGCCAACUGGCACCAAAAUGCUGCCCUGGGAAAGAGGAAAGCCCUUUCUUUCUCUCUUCAUCUUCCUCUUCUUCUACUUCAUCUUCUCUGCUUUUAUUUUCCUCUGUGGGGACACGGGGCUGGGAAAGGGCUCAGCUGAACCCCCCCUGUUCUUUCCCCCCUCACUGCAGCCAUUGCAACAGCAACAGAUUUCUAACAAAAAAUCCAAAUCCUCUCAUUUUGGCUCCAGCUUGCUGCUCUGUGGCUGGAGGGGUUGGCUUAUCCAUGGGGACAAGGAGGUUGGGUGUGGAGCAAUCUGGGAUGCUCAGGGAUGCAAAUGGUCUUGUGACCCUUUUGCAGCAUCUUUGUGGUGGUCCCCAGAAUCCCACCCCUUCGCCCUUCCUGCUUGUUUUUGGGGGAGAAAAGUGGUGUCUAGGACACAGUGUAGAGAGAACCUCAUCCUAGAGGAUUCACCAGAAGUAUUUGGGGCAUGGGGAUGGCAAAGAAUUGGGGUCAGCGGCCCUGGGUGUGGUGGCACAAUCCUGGCACCACCCCAAUCCCCCUGAACCCUCUUCAAUCCCCUCGACUGGAUUCCCUGUGCAGGAUUCACCCUUUCAGGGAUACUCAGGGACCUGGUGUUGGACUGUGGCUGGGGAAAGGAGACCCUAAAGCCAGGGGUUUGCCAGCUUGGUCAGGACUGGUGGUGCAGGAGGUGUUUCCACCCAUCUUUUUGGUCUAGUGAUGUUUGCAAAGAUGGGGAAAACACCCAGGCAGCAUUUGUGGCUCGGAGGAGCUCAGAUAUUUGGGGGCCCCAAGGCCAGACAAAACCCCCUCAGCUCUUGGUGAGAGCCUGGCUCGGGGCUUGGCCACGGUGGUGGCCCAGGGUUUUCCCUCCCUGUAGGAGAAGUGAGUUGGUUUGUUUUAUUUCUCCUCUCUCUGGCUCUGUCUCUGUCUCUCCUCCUUCUCUCGCUCUUUCUUUCUCUCUUGCAUUUUUGUGAAUCUAAUGAUGCACUUAUAUUGCCCCGCUUUUCCCUUCUCUUCAUACCUUACCUACUAAAGGAGGAAAUGCCACUUUUUUGAGGCCGGCCUCGGCGUCCCCCUCUCCGCGGGCUCACGGCAGGACGGAGCCGCUUUCCCCCCGCGCCCGGGGGGGCCG
Molecule: RNA transcript, 5735 nt
Organism: Pseudopipra pipra
Lineage: Eukaryota; Metazoa; Chordata; Aves; Passeriformes; Pipridae
Gene: SRRM3
Gene name: serine/arginine repetitive matrix 3
Exons: 12
Source: RefSeq, a predicted model, not a curated record